RNAcentral lists this ribosomal RNA (1050 nucleotides) under Microbacterium ginsengiterrae. Its description in RNAcentral is "bacterial SSU rRNA". It matches the Rfam family "Bacterial small subunit ribosomal RNA", at positions 81 to 1143 of the family's 1533-position model. The record is from RNAcentral. Lineage: Bacteria; Bacillati; Actinomycetota; Actinomycetes; Micrococcales; Microbacteriaceae.
GCUCUUGUGGAUCAGUGGCGAACGGGUGAGUAACACGUGAGCAACCUGCCCCUGACUCUGGGAUAAGCGCUGGAAACGGCGUCUAAUACUGGAUACGAACCGGAAUCGCAUGGUUACCGGUUGGAAAGAUUUUUUGGUUGGGGAUGGGCUCGCGGCCUAUCAGCUUGUUGGUGAGGUAAUGGCUCACCAAGGCGUCGACGGGUAGCCGGCCUGAGAGGGUGACCGGCCACACUGGGACUGAGACACGGCCCAGACUCCUACGGGAGGCAGCAGUGGGGAAUAUUGCACAAUGGGCGGAAGCCUGAUGCAGCAACGCCGCGUGAGGGAUGACGGCCUUCGGGUUGUAAACCUCUUUUAGCAGGGAAGAAGCGAAAGUGACGGUACCUGCAGAAAAAGCGCCGGCUAACUACGUGCCAGCAGCCGCGGUAAUACGUAGGGCGCAAGCGUUAUCCGGAAUUAUUGGGCGUAAAGAGCUCGUAGGCGGUUUGUCGCGUCUGCUGUGAAAUCCCGAGGCUCAACCUCGGGCCUGCAGUGGGUACGGGCAGACUAGAGUGCGGUAGGGGAGAUUGGAAUUCCUGGUGUAGCGGUGGAAUGCGCAGAUAUCAGGAGGAACACCGAUGGCGAAGGCAGAUCUCUGGGCCGUAACUGACGCUGAGGAGCGAAAGGGUGGGGAGCAAACAGGCUUAGAUACCCUGGUAGUCCACCCCGUAAACGUUGGGAACUAGUUGUGGGGUCCAUUCCACGGAUUCCGUGACGCAGCUAACGCAUUAAGUUCCCCGCCUGGGGAGUACGGCCGCAAGGCUAAAACUCAAAGGAAUUGACGGGGACCCGCACAAGCGGCGGAGCAUGCGGAUUAAUUCGAUGCAACGCGAAGAACCUUACCAAGGCUUGACAUAUACGAGAACGGGCCAGAAAUGGUCAACUCUUUGGACACUCGUAAACAGGUGGUGCAUGGUUGUCGUCAGCUCGUGUCGUGAGAUGUUGGGUUAAGUCCCGCAACGAGCGCAACCCUCGUUCUAUGUUGCCAGCACGUAAUGGUGGGAACUCAUG